Pomacea canaliculata is the source of this 692-nucleotide long non-coding RNA. RefSeq lists it as uncharacterized. Lineage: Eukaryota; Metazoa; Mollusca; Gastropoda; Architaenioglossa; Ampullariidae. The transcript is spliced from 3 exons. The record is from RefSeq and is a predicted model, not a curated record.
AUUGUCAUGCUCAUAGACGUCAUGGUGACGAAAAAUCAGACAAAUAUCGUAGUCGUGCUCGUCAUCACUUAUCAGAUCUGAUAGGCAGACACAUCAUCCCAUCAAGCUCGAAGCUACAACCAAUCCAAAUGCACCGCCAAACUAACAUUAUAUCCAAUAUGGCGGUGUUGUUCGCUUUGUAGGCUUUAUGAAUGAAUCGAUGCUGCAUAGACAUCGCCAAUUUUGUUUAGCAUAAUUUUAAAAAAGUCCUCAUAACUAAAAAGUCUGUAUAGUUAUAGGUCCUUUUCUCUCUGUAUUUGUUUUUUUCUGUAAACCAGCAUGCAUCCUAUACAUACAUAGGCCAUACUUCCGGUUUCCUUUUUUCGUUCGUGCACAAUAAGGAUAGUUUUGUGUUUCUUAUACAGGUACAAUGUCGUAUUUCAAGAUCAGACAAAAGAAGAAAAGCAACCGAAAAGAUAGUGAAGAUUUACAACACUUGACAGGGCGAUGGGUAACCCUUAAAGAGAAUAAGGGAAAGAAAAAAGUUUCUGCUGCUCCCUCCCAGCCAGACACAGUUAUUGCUGCUUCCUCAGAGCAACCGAUCCCGACAACAUCAUCCAUCGAUGUUGAGCCUAUGGCCGUAGUAUUUGCUGCUUCCUCCCAACAACCGAUCCCGACAACAUCAUCCAGCGAUGUUGAGCCUAUGGCCGUAG